GAUGAAGAACGUAGUGAAAUGCGAUAAGUAGUGUGAAUUGCAGAAUUCCGUGAAUCAUCGAAUCUUUGAACGCACAUUGCGCCUUCUGGUAUUCCGGAAGGCAUGCCUGUUCGAGAGUCAUUAACAACCGUUUCGAUCCCUUUCUUUCAGAAAUUACAAAGAGGAAAAGGGUUUGGUUAUGGUGGAGGAGGGAAAGGGAGCGUUUAGCCUGUAAAAAAAGAGGCUGUGUUCCGCCUCCCCCCCAAAAUUGUACAGGCGGUCGUGUGCGCCCACGCAUCGAGGUGUUGUAAAAGCUGCCACGGCACUUUUCACCUGUGCAGUGCGAGAUUGGCCAGCCGGUUUAAAAACCCCUCCAAACAAUCAAAGGUUGACCUCGGAUCAGGUAGGGAUACCCGCUGAACUUAAGCAUAUCAAUAAGCGAGGA
This 424-nucleotide unclassified non-coding RNA is filed under the name soil metagenome. RNAcentral's name for it is "partial contains 5.8S ribosomal RNA, internal transcribed spacer 2, and large subunit ribosomal RNA". The stretch from base 1 to 120 matches the Rfam family "5.8S ribosomal RNA", at positions 35 to 154 of the family's 154-position model. The record is from RNAcentral.